UUAGCUUAUUCUAGCAAUAAUUUAACCUAGGGUUUAUAUUUGGAAAAAUACCCAUAGGUGAAAAGUGUUUAUUUUGAUGUUUUAUGAUAGAAUAUGAAGCUAUAAAUUAUGUUAAACAACUUUUGCUAAGCGAUUUUAAGUGAAAACGAGUAAAACGACAUAAUCGGUAAAAAUACCUAAUGUUCAUAAGUACAUGUUAGAGUGGGAAUUUGAUGUUGCCAUAGAAGGGAAAAAUGUUCAGAAUGUUAUAAAACAUAAUAAUAAGAGAUGAAGUUUAAUUUCCGAGCCUUGGGGCAAAAAUGUAAUUAUGUAAAAGUUUAGGGGCAAAAUUGUAAUUUUGAAAAAGUUAGAGUCGAGGGCUGUUUUGAUGAAUGUGAUUAUUAAAUAAGUUAAAUUUACUAUUUUAGAUCAAGAAGUACGAAACUCGAGGUUAGACAAAGGGAAGAAUAAAGUUGAAGACUAAGUUGGUGAAUUUGGCUAUAAUUGGUACCGAGUAUUACAAGGCUACUUCAAGGAUCCUAAAGAAGUCGGAGAUCGUCCACACUAUCAACCACAACUGCUCGGUAUUUUAUGUCGAAACACGUUUGAGUUAUGGCAUGUAUAGGGAUUUAGUUAUUUUGUAUGUUUGUAGUUAUGAUUUUGCUAAAGAAUGGUGUGUAAGUAUUUGAUGAUGUGUGGUCAUUAAAAUGGUUAAGCAUGAA
Molecule: long non-coding RNA, 701 nt
Organism: Gossypium raimondii (Peruvian cotton)
Lineage: Eukaryota; Viridiplantae; Streptophyta; Magnoliopsida; Malvales; Malvaceae
Exons: 2
Source: RefSeq, a predicted model, not a curated record